UCUCCGUAGGUGAACCUGCGGAGGGAUCAUUACCGAGUGCAAACUCAUAACCCUUUGUGAACCUAUAUCUGUUGCUUCGGCGGCUCGCUCUCGGGCGAGCCCGCCGGUAAUAUCAGUAUCUCUGUUUGAACCCGACGAUACUUCUGAGUGUUCUUAGCGAACAGUUAAAACUUUUAACAACGGAUCUCUUGGCUCUA
Molecule: unclassified non-coding RNA, 197 nt
Filed under: plant metagenome
Description: partial contains small subunit ribosomal RNA, internal transcribed spacer 1, and 5.8S ribosomal RNA
Source: RNAcentral